AGAAUUUCAUUAAUCUGAAAUGUAUUUUAAGAUUUUAACAUAUUAUCUUGCUACUUUAAAUAUAUUAUGGCAUUUGAAAGAUUACAUGUGAUAAUAACAAUAAAAAAUGUAUUUCCUCAAGCCACACUAUUUAACAUAUUUUACCAUGCUUAUAAAUUAUAUAUUUUCAUAUAACCAUGUAAAAUGACUAGACAUUUUAUGUUAAAACUUUAAAGAAUUUUCUAAAGAAUUUUCUUUAUUAAUUGUUGUAAUUUGAUGCUAUAAAAACGGGGCGUGUCGUUAUGGUUGAUUGGGUCUGCGGCUCCACCUCACGACACUACUGCGCAGACUCGGGCUCCAAAUGACGUCAUUUACACAUGAUGGCAGCGGCCAUACUCCAAGAGGGUCUGGCUGCAGACAUAGGGGCGAGUGGAGCUCCACUCAAGAGCGGAAAUACGUCACCUCCACUAGCGACGCGUCCGCCAUGUUGGUCCGGGCAAGACUGCCAUAAAACUAAUGAAGGUAAACGGAGCUGCGUUUUUUUCUGCAUAAAAACACGAUGAUGUUUACAUUUAUCAGUCGAUUUCAGUGAUUUGUGAUCUACAUGGAAUUAAAAAUAACUGUCUCCAGUUAUUUAGUUAUGCUUGGAAAAUGAUUAAUUUUCGUUAAAAAUUGAAGCUCACACGCUUGUUGAUUUGGCUAUUUUUAUGGUAACAAUUCUAAUACUUAGUAUAACUGUGACACCACGUGUAAAAUAAUCUAAUGUACAUGAAAUGAAAUUAAGUUUUUUCUUUGUGGAAAUUGCUUUCCGUGUCUUCAACCCCAACAUUUCAGCUUGUCUUGUGCUUCAGGUCAGAACACAUCAUUCCCUUUGAAAUACGGAAUACAAAUACAUCUUUAAGUACUAAUAAUUGACCAUCAUUGAUGAAAUGGAAUAAAAUCAGUAAAUACAAAUAAAAAAUGUACACACUGGUAGUCUGCUUUCUAUAUUUUCAUAGCAGUCUAUGGAUACAGAUAUAAACUCCACAACAAACAAUAAGAAAUAUAACUGAUAAUCUUUUAUGGAUCCAGUAAAAGUUACAGUUAUAAAACAUUAUGCACUAAUAAUAAAUAUAGUAAUAUAGUAAACAUAUAGUAAAAGUGAUAUGUGAUAUUUAAAAAGUAUAGUACAAAUUGUAGUAAAGUGAUAAUAAAAUAGUGAGUACAACAAGACAAUAACAUGUAAGUGAGAUAAUAAUAGAUUUAUAAUAGGUUUAUAAUAGAUUUCAGUUCUUGCUUUCCCUGAGAAUAGAGUGUUUUAGAUGUAAUUCUCCACUGGUUCCCUCAAGAUUUUCCUAUGGGUUUUUAUAAUGGGUUUUUUACAAAUAAUGAAUAAAAUAUGGUCUGUGAUAAACAUAACUUGACAAUACUUUUGCUCUACAAUGCAAAUUACACACACCCAUGGUGAAAAUGCAAAUUUUUAAGCAGUUAACAAAACACAAACAGAAAUCUCUCUUUUUUUUUUUUAAGAACUGGUUUCACAACGAUAUUAAAUAUACAACAAAGAAGGAACACUCUUUGAUUAUAAUGAAUUCCUUUUUUAUUGUAAAAUACCAAUUACUCAAUUGUUAUUGGUUCAAUCUCUUCAUGCACUCACAUUUUAUGGUUUUGUUGACUGAAAUAAAUAAAUAUAUAUAUAUAUAUAUAUAUAUAUAUAAAUUGACAGUAUAAGAGAUUCUUUGAAUAAGAAAGCUUUAAGAACUUUGAAAGCUUGUGAACUUUAUAAUAUAUUUAUUUAUUUGAUUUUGAUAUAUGUAUACGUGUAUGUAUAUAUAGGGCCUAUGGUUUUGUGUCUUUGUUUACAACUUUUAUACUUACCUCCCCCGGCAACUCCUAUUUGUUGUAAAUUAUUUUUCAAUCCUUUUCCUUUUUAUUUUCCUUUUCUUUUUUGAUGUUAUUUCUUGAUAAUAUAUUGUAUCGUAUUGUUCUUUGAAUAAAAAUAAAAUAGCCCAAAACCAUCCCAAUGGUAAAUGGUAAAAAUCGCAUUGCAGGGGCUAAAUAUCACGUUAUUGGUUUCAGCAACAUAUUUUGAAGUAGCCCAAUUCCGAGGGAAAAAAUCAGUUGAUAGAUGACAAUGGUCAGCUAUAUUCCUUUUCAGAAUUUUCCAGGAAAUUUGAUUUUGGGGCUUCGUUAAAAGAAUAUAACAUUGCUGGAAUAUAACAGAUGCUGGAAUAGAUUUUCUGUUGAUAUGAUUUCAAACAAAGCGGUUAUUGAAUUUGUCCUCAACAAUCAAAAUCCUUCUACUGAAAUAGAAUUGUUAGGCCUAUAUAUAGAAACAGGAUUAGAGGUUUGCUAUUCUUUCAAUAGAGUUUUUAUACCACUAGGAAUGGCAUUAAAUGGAUGGCAUUGUACAACAUUAAUUGGAAUGCUGCUUGGUCUCUUCCGCACAAAUAUUUAUUAAUAAACAAAAUAAAAAAAGUCACAUUUAAAAUAUUACAUAGGUGUCACCCUUGUAAUAGUGUAUUUAAUAAGUAUAUGCAAAAUAUUGGAGGAAAAAGGGACUUUCUGUUAUAGAAGAGACCAUUGUACAACUUUUUUGUGAAUGUGUUUAUGUAAAACAUUUUUGGAAUGAGUUAUACCUCUCAGAUAAAACAAAUGUUAGAAUAUGUAUCAACACUUUUGAUAUUAUUUUUCUUUUAUUAUAACUCUAACUCCUGUAUUCAAUAUAUUGUUAAUCUUUUUAUUAUAUACUUGGCAAAUGUUUUAUUCACAGGUGUAAAUUUUGGGGUAAGAACCCAGUACUGUAAAAUUUUUCUGGUUGACUAUAAUUCUUAAGUUUUGUCUUUAAUGGGCAUAAAAAACAAACAAACAAAAAAUUUAUUAAAAAGUCAAAAAUUGCUUUCAAUGUUUAAAUUUGUAUAAUUUCCCCCCUUUGGUUUAUGUUAUUUAUUUGUUGUCUUUUAGUUUAUUUAUUUACUUAUUUUACUUUCGAUCUUGUAUUAUUUUUGUAUUUUGUCCUCUAUUAUUUUUGAGGUUGUUGUGGUUAUGUGCUUGUUAAGUGUUUUGGCAUCAAUAAAAAAAAUUCCGAGGACUUGGCAACACUGAAUGGAGGUGACGUAUUUCCUGUUCAAGAGUGGAGCUCCACUCGCCCAGAGCCAUAUAGAGAGAACAUUACUUUGACACAGUUACACCUGUUAACAAAUCUUAUUUGUAAAUGAAGAAACAUUCAUUUUCUGUAAAGCUGCUUUGAAACAAUGUUUGUAAUAAAAAGUGCUAUACAAAUAAAUGUGAAUCUCCCUGGAGCGCUCCCAUGCAGCACAGCAAACUAUAGUGGAGACUGUUCAAGGACAGCAUGCUUUAUAGCAUGUAAAUAAGUGCAUAACAAAAGUUAACAUACAUCAAAUAUAUGAUUAAAUGGGUAAAAAUGUUUUAAGUUAUUUUAAAUUUGAAUAUACUACAAAUAUAUAUUUAAAUAUUAAUAAUGGAGGGGUGCACAAGAAUCAAAAACAUUAAUUCCCACUUAAUCUUAAAAUAUCUUCACUUAUUUGGAAUGAAUUUUCAAAGACAACAAACUUAACAUUCACCAUGAGAUUAGUAAAACGACAAUGAACAUCAAGAUGUGAUUGCACUCGACUAACAUACAAGUUGUUAGAAAGCACACACACACACACAUAAUUAUAUUUAUACAGAGAGGCUGAAGUUACUUGGUAAAAGGCCACAAUGUCGUUUAUAUAGCAAACAUGGACUUUUACCAUGGUAACGUCAGCCUAAAAUAUGUUAACAUGGCAGGUAAGGAUAGCUGACCACAUUAAUCCUCAAAUAUUAGCGGAUUUUAUCUUUUAAAGCAACACUGAUACAGCUACAUAUACUAUGUAUACUUUAUUUUAUAAAUAAUGUAAGUAAAUUAUUUUAUUGUCUACUAAUUACCAAAAAUCACAGUUCUGUCUCUCUAACUCAAUGCAUUCAAAUUGCCCGCUAUGAACUUCCUGGAACUAUUGAGGUCUACGAGAAUCACGUGACGAUCGAGCGUUUUGAACUUCCGUUGUCGCAACUCUAGCUGUGUAGAAGGCUGCGUCCUCCGGAGGUUGCAUCCUCUGUAGGAUGCAUAACGUAUACGAAGUGUCCUCAACCUAGAAUUAAACGAGACGGCCUUCGUAGGACGGGCGGGAAAAAAAACAAGUAUCACGUUGAUUUGCCAACACAUUUUAGAGCAUCAUUGCACUCUCACACUACUUAAAUUAAGGAAAAAUGUUUCUAAAUUUGGAAAGUAAUUAAAAAAAAGCUUGUUUUAUUUCGCUCAAUGUUUGAGGAGCUGCAACGUUCGUACAACAGACAGCUGUUAGAGGAAAAAAAGGAGGAGGAUAUUAAGAACAAAGUUUAACCUAUAUCAACCUCAAAGUUUUUAUUGGAGGCUAUUUAAGUUAAGUUGAAAACACCACAUCUGCGCUUCUGUGUACAUCUGCCGGCACCGGCAUUUUUCAAAUUAACGACAGUUGUUUAUUGACGCAAAGAAUUGUGGGUUAUCUGUUGCAGCGAAGGAUACACCUGAUGCAUCCUCCGAAUUCCUGUGAAAGAAGGUCGCAUUCGGAGUGUCCUGCUUGCUUUUCUGAAAUGAGACAGCCUCGAUGACGUAUGCACCCUUCGAAUGAGACCUCCGGAGGACGCAGCCUUCUAAAUGAGACACAGCUAGAAGCUGUCCCCUUCUUCCAGUUACGCCCCUCUCUUGCGGUCCGUAACUGGAAGGAGGCGUAACUUGAAGAAGGGGGCGUAACUUGAAGUUGUCCAAAUCACACAGAACUACGCGAGAUGUCAAAACGAGAUGUUGUUGGCAAGAUGGCCGCUUGUAUAGAGACAAGGGACAGAAGAGUCACGUGUGUUUAUCCGCUGAAGAGUGACUGAUGAAGCAAUGCUGCCAUCAAAGCCUCUCAAUCUUCUGUGGUGGAGCAGGACCUGCAAGGCAAGGUGACAGCGGCAUUUGUGAAAAAAAAGGGAAAACCUCAAACAAAAGGAUAAAGUAGUCGUGCUCAUGGAGAGCAGACACAGCGGCAGCCAGAUUGUCCUGCACAUGUUCUCCUGCUCUUGUCUCAAGGUUGUGUGGUUCAGGGGUGUCAUCAUGGUCUUCCUCAUCCUCUGGCUCAACACAGUGAAGCACAGCGCAGCUGCAGAAUUGACACAUCUGUGUUGAGGUGGCAGUAGGAUGUGGGGUUCACCAUCUGUAAAUACAUGAUUGUUAGAACAAUACGUUUGAUUGAAGCUUUGUUUCAUCUGUUGUUGACUUGUGUGUAUAUAUAUGUAUUUAUUGUGAUGCUUGCUUUUAUUAAUUAUUUUACUCAUUUAUUCAUGUUUCUUAUUGUUGUCAUUAAAUAAAAUAUAUUUUAUUAAUUCAUGUAUUAAUUGCUUGACUGAAAAUUGAUGUAUUCACAUCGACUGCAUUUGUUCAACUAGCUAUGUCACGACAAAAAUUAGAUUUUGCUUGUUUUACUAAAAUGUAAUUUUAAGUAAAAAAAAAAAAAAAGAAAGUCAUAUAAUUAUUGGUUGGCACUUAUCACUAUUAUUGCGUGUAAGUGUUGGGGUGGGCAAAUGAUGCAAUUCAUUCUGGG
Long non-coding RNA from Onychostoma macrolepis, 5558 nucleotides. RefSeq lists it as uncharacterized. The record is from RefSeq and is a predicted model, not a curated record. The transcript is spliced from 4 exons. NCBI's taxonomy places the organism in Eukaryota, Metazoa, Chordata, Actinopteri, Cypriniformes, Cyprinidae.